Molecule: small nucleolar RNA, 98 nt
Rfam family: Small nucleolar RNA Z266
About the family: Z266 is a member of the C/D class of snoRNA which contain the C (UGAUGA) and D (CUGA) box motifs. Most of the members of the box C/D family function in directing site-specific 2'-O-methylation of substrate RNAs.
Source: Rfam
UUUUGGCAAGAAUGAUGAUUCAAUUAGAUGCGUGAAGGGAGAAAAUCUCUUUUGAACUCAAAACUUUUGAGGCAUAUUAUUAGUCUGACUUGCUUUCA